UGUCAGCUAUCUGAGUCUACAUCCUACAGAGAGAGGUGUGUUAUUGAGUCUACAUCCUACAGAGAGAGGUGUGUUAUUGUCAGCUAUCUGAGUCUACAUCCUACAGAGAGAGGUGUGUUAUUGUCAGCUAUCUGAGUCUACAUCCUACAGAGAGAGGUGUGUUAUUGAGUCUACAUCCUACAGAGAGAGGUGUGUUAUUGUCAGCUAUCUGAGUCUACAUCCUACAGAGAGAGGUGUGUUAUUGUCAGCUAUCUGAGUCUACAUCCUACAGAGAGAGGUGUGUUAUUGAGUCUACAUCCUACAGAGAGAGGUGUGUUAUUGAGUCUACAUCCUACAGAGAGAGGUGUGUUAUUGAGUCUACAUCCUACAGAGAGAGGUGUGUUAUUGACAGCUAUCUGAGUCUACAUCCUACAGAGGGAGGUGUGUUAUUGUCAGCUAUCUGAGUCUACAUCCUACAGAGAGAGGUGUGUUAUUGAGUCUACAUCCUACAGAGAGAGGUGUGUUAUUGAGUCUACAUCCUACAGAGAGAGGUGUGUUAUUGAGUCUACAUCCUACAGAGAGAGGUGUGUUAUUGAGUCUACAUCCUACAGAGAGAGGUGUGUUAUUGAGUCUACAUCCUACAGAGAGAGGUGUGUUAUUGAGUCUACAUCCUACAGAGAGAGGUGUGUUAUUGAGUCUACAUCCUACAGAGAGAGGUGUGUUAUUGAGUCUACAUCCUACAGAGAGAGGUGUGUUAUUGAGUCUACAUCCUACAGAGAGAGGUGUGUUAUUGAGUCUACAUCCUACAGAGAGAGGUGUGUUAUUGAGUCUACAUCCUACAGAGAGAGGUGUGUUAUUGAGUCUACAUCCUACAGAGAGAGGUGUGUUAUUGAGUCUACAUCCUACAGAGAGAGGUGUGUUAUUGAGUCUACAUCCUACAGAGAGAGGUGUGUUAUUGAGUCUACAUCCUACAGAGAGAGGUGUGUUAUUGAGUCUACAUCCUACAGAGAGAGGUGUGUUAUUGAGUCUACAUCCUACAGAGAGAGGUGUGUUAUUGAGUCUACAUCCUACAGAGAGAGGUGUGUUAUUGAGUGUACA
This is a long non-coding RNA of Oncorhynchus keta (chum salmon), 1077 nucleotides long. RefSeq lists it as uncharacterized. The transcript has 3 exons. Lineage: Eukaryota; Metazoa; Chordata; Actinopteri; Salmoniformes; Salmonidae. The record is from RefSeq and is a predicted model, not a curated record.